UACGGGGGGAGCAAGCGUUGUUCGGAUUACUGGGCGUAAAGGGCGCGUAGGCGCCUGGCAAGUCGAUGGUGAAAGCCCGAGGCUCAACUUCGGGUCGGCCACUGAUACUGCUGGGCUUGAGUCGACUAGAGGCAGAUGGAAUUCCGGGGUGUAGCGGUGGAAUGCGUAGAGAUCCGGAAGACACCGGUGGCGAAGGCGGUCUGCUGGGGGUCGAAC
RNAcentral lists this ribosomal RNA (216 nucleotides) under uncultured bacterium. Its description in RNAcentral is "partial 16S ribosomal RNA". It matches the Rfam family "Bacterial small subunit ribosomal RNA", at positions 524 to 740 of the family's 1533-position model. The record is from RNAcentral.